Molecule: ribosomal RNA, 738 nt
Filed under: uncultured Candidatus Poseidoniales archaeon
Lineage: Archaea; Methanobacteriati; Thermoplasmatota; Candidatus Poseidoniia; Candidatus Poseidoniales
Description: bacterial SSU rRNA
Rfam family: Archaeal small subunit ribosomal RNA
Source: RNAcentral
UCUGGUUGGUCCUGCCGGAGGCUACCGCUAUUGGAGUUCGAUUAAGCCAUGCGAGUCGCGAGAAAUUAGAUUCUCGGCGUACCGCUCAGUAACACGUGGGUAACCUGCCCUAUGCUGGAUAAUAACCUCGGGAAACUGAGAAUAAUGAUCCAUAGUUCACUACGCCUGGAACGGUGAGUGGAUGAAAGCUCCGGCGGCAUAGGAUGGGCCUGCGGCGUAUCAGGUUGUAGGGGGUGUAACGUACCCUCUAGCCCUCUACGCGUACGGGUGUUGGGAGACAUAGCCCGGAGAUGGAUUCUGAGACACGAAUCCAGACCCUACGGGGUGCAGCAGGCGCGAAAACUUGGCAAUGCGAGAAAUCGUGACCAGGGAACUCCAAGUGCAUCGGGUAAGACCGGUGCUUUUCUUGACUCUAAAUAGGUCUUGGAAUAAGGGGUGGGUAAGGACGGUGCCAGCCGCCGCGGUAAUACCGGCGCCUCAAGUGGUAGUCGCUUUUAUUGGGCCUAAAACGUCCGUAGCCGGUCUGAUACAUUCGUGGGUAAAUCAACCAGCUCAACUGGUUGAAUUCUGCGAGGACGGUCAGACUUGGGACCGGGAGAGGUGUGGGGUACGCUCAGGGUAGGGGUAAAAUCCUGUCAUCCUGAGCGGACCACCUGUUGCGAAGGCGCCACACUAGAACGGAUCCGACGGUCAGGGACGAAGCCUAGGGGCACGAACCGGAUUAGAUACCCGGGUAGU